AUGCAAGUCGAGGGGCAGCAUGAACUUAGCUUGCUAAGUUUGAUGGCGACCGGCGGAAGGGUGCGUAACGCGUGAGCGACAUGCCCGUUGCCCGGGGACAACCGGUGGAAACGCCGACUAAUCCCCGAUGGGACGGAGGCCCUCAUGGGUCUCUGUUGAAAGUUACGGCGGCGACGGAUUGGCUCGCGUCCGAUUAGCUAGUUGGCGGGGUAACGGCCCACCAAGGCUACGAUCGGUAGGGGUUCUGAGAGGAAGGUCCCCACAAUGGAACUGAGACACGGUCCAUACUCC
Molecule: ribosomal RNA, 291 nt
Filed under: uncultured bacterium
Lineage: Bacteria
Description: partial 16S ribosomal RNA
Rfam family: Bacterial small subunit ribosomal RNA
Source: RNAcentral